This 301-nucleotide ribosomal RNA is filed under the name uncultured bacterium. RNAcentral's name for it is "partial 16S ribosomal RNA". It matches the Rfam family "Bacterial small subunit ribosomal RNA", at positions 509 to 807 of the family's 1533-position model. The record is from RNAcentral.
CAGCAGCCGCGGUAACACAGAGGGUGCGAGCGUUAAUCGGAUUUACUGGGCGUAAAGCGUGCGUAGGCGGCUAAUUGAGUCGGAUGUGAAAUCCCCGAGCUUAACUUGGGAAUUGCAUUCGAUACUGGUUAGCUAGAGUGUGGGAGAGGAUGGUAGAAUUCCAGGUGUAGCGGUGAAAUGCGUAGAGAUCUGGAGGAAUACCGAUGGCGAAGGCAGCCAUCUGGCCUAACACUGACGCUGAGGUACGAAAGCAUGGGGAGCAAACAGGAUUAGAUACCCCAGUAGUCCCUGUCUCUUAUAC